CACGUAGGGGGCAAGCGUUGUCCGGAUUCAUUGGGCGUAAAGAGCUCGUAGGCGGUUUGUCGCGUCUGCUGUGAAAUCCCGAGGCUCAACCUCGGGUCUGCAGUGGGUACGGGCAGACUGGAGUGCGGUAGGGGAGAAUGGAAUUCCUGGUGUAGCGGUGGAAUGCGCAGAUAUCAGGAGGAACACCGAUGGCGAAGGCAGUUCUCUGGGCCGUAACUGACGCUGAGGAGCGAAAGCGUGGGGAGCGAACAGG
Molecule: ribosomal RNA, 253 nt
Filed under: uncultured bacterium
Lineage: Bacteria
Description: partial 16S ribosomal RNA
Rfam family: Bacterial small subunit ribosomal RNA
Source: RNAcentral